This 368-nucleotide RNase P RNA is filed under the name Hormoscilla sp. SP5CHS1. RNAcentral describes it as "RNase P RNA component class A". It matches the Rfam family "Bacterial RNase P class A". Rfam says of the family: Ribonuclease P (RNase P) is a ubiquitous endoribonuclease, found in archaea, bacteria and eukarya as well as chloroplasts and mitochondria. Lineage: Bacteria; Bacillati; Cyanobacteriota; Cyanophyceae; Gomontiellales; Gomontiellaceae. The record is from RNAcentral.
CGAGUAGGGGAGGUGGUUGCAGAUGGACUCUUGCCGUCUGUCUGAGGAAAGUCCGGGCUCCCGAAAGACCAAACUUGCUGGGUAACGCCCAGUGCGAGCGAUCGUGAGGAUAGUGCCACAGAAACAUACCGCCAUUUAUGGUAAGGGUGCAAAGGUGCGGUAAAAGCGCACCAGCAGCAUUGAGAGGUGCUGGCUCGGUAAACCCCGGUUGGGUGCAAGGUCGAAGGAACCACGGUUGGUCUUUUACCAGUUCCGCAGCAAAGAACCGCUUGAGGCGUCUGGUAACAGGCGUCCCAGAUAGAUAACCGCCAUCGAGGGUUGUACCGCAGCCCUUGACAACAGAACCCGGCUUACGACUUACUCUUCCC